GGAGAAAGCGCGGCAAAGAUCUGUGUUGCUGAAUGGAACGGUGAAUCCGGACACUGUCUCAGGUGCCCUGCUGCAGAACUACUGAGCCUAGAAAUGUAAAGACCAGAAUAUGGUCAGAGAGAACUUACUUUUCGAUUUUAAAAAGGUUUUACAAGAUUAUUCUGUUUACAUGUGUAUUAAAUGAAGAUUUUAAGGAAAGGGAGGAUUUCCCCUAAAUUUCCUUCCCACCGCCCCCCCCCCCCCGAAUUCUUACAUUUCUAGAAGACUUAAGGAGUCAAAGAGAUAUUUGAAUGCCUAUAUGCCCAGUUGGAGAACAAGUAUUCUGGCCAAAAACAAAAACAAAAAAACAGCGUAUGUUCUCAAUCACAGAAACGUUCGUCCCUAGUCAGGAAAUCAUUAGGAAGAUACGUUAAAUAAGAGCCGGAAAAGAAAGAAAUCUGCAUCAAGGGGAUGAGGCAGAAGGUGACUUUUGGACCACAGUGACCCGGUUAAACAGGGAGAAGCUGGAAAACUCUAAGAACGUCUCAAGCUGCAGUCUCCAUGGCCAUUGUGGGGCUUAAAUUCAUGAUCCUGAGAUCAAGAGUCUCGUGCUCUACUGACUGAGCCAGCCAGGCACCUCACUAUCCUUUUAACUCCAGUGAAUGGUUGAAAAACUGGUCCUUUCCACAACCUACUUCAUUUUCUCCCAUUUUAUAAUCACUGCAUUUGAUACUGACUUUGUCCUGUGUCUCACACAUGUCCUGGACCGUGAUAAUAUGGGCGGGUAGAGUGGGUGGCUGUGGUUCCCUGCAGUAGACCCUAUUGGUUGCUACUGAAAUUUGAUCCCCUUUCCUUCUUGAUGGCAGAUCUCCAAAUGUAUGAGCUUCCCUCUUGUUCAGGGAGGGUGACCCCCACCUCCCAGAGCCAGGGGGUAAAUUAUCAUUGAGCAAGUCUUUUCUGUAAAGAUAGUAAAUAUUUUUUGGCUUUAAAGGUCAGAUGUUUAAAGGCAACAAUAUAUAACUAUAUUUCUAAAAUGUUGAAUGAAAUUGAGAUUGUGUUAUAAAUGAUAUGGACCUCAUUCAAAACUCAAAACGUUAGGCUCUGCUUUAGUUCAUUCAGGCUUCUGUGACAAAAUACCACAGGCUGAGUGGCUUAUAAACAACAGAAUUUUAUAUCUCACAGUCUAGAGGCUGGAAGUCCAGCCUGGUCAGGUAAAUGCCCUCUUCCAGAUUACAGACUUGUUUCCUCACAUGGUAGAAGGGGCUAGGGAGCUCUGUGGGAUCUCUUUUAUAAGGACACUAAUCCCAUUAGUGAGGCUCCACUCUCGUGGCCUAAUCACUUCCCAAAGGCCCCACUUCCUAAUACCAGCACAUUGGGCAUUGGAGUUCCAACAUGUGAAUUUGGGGGGACACAAGCAUUUAGGCCAUAGCAGGCCCUAAAUAUAAAUUAUUAAUAAGAAAAUCUCAUGGGGUGCCUGGGUGGCUCAGUUGAUUAUGCAUCCGACUCAGUUUCAGCUCAGGUCAUGAUCUCAUGGUUUUGUGGGUUCGAGCCC
Molecule: long non-coding RNA, 1531 nt
Organism: Prionailurus viverrinus (fishing cat)
Lineage: Eukaryota; Metazoa; Chordata; Mammalia; Carnivora; Felidae
Exons: 3
Source: RefSeq, a predicted model, not a curated record